RNAcentral lists this ribosomal RNA (253 nucleotides) under uncultured bacterium. Its description in RNAcentral is "partial 16S ribosomal RNA". It matches the Rfam family "Bacterial small subunit ribosomal RNA", at positions 524 to 776 of the family's 1533-position model. The record is from RNAcentral.
UACGUAGGUGGCAAGCGUUAUCCGGAAUUACUGGGCGUAAAGCGCACGCAGGCGGUCUUUUAAGUUUGACGUGAAAGCUCCCGGCUUAACUGGGAGAGGUCGUUGAAGACUGGAAGACUUGAGGCAAUGAGAGGGGUGUAGAAUUCCCGGUGUAGUGGUGGAAUGCGUAGAUAUCGGGGGGAAUACCAGUGGCGAAAGCGGCACCCUAGCGUUAGCCUGACGCUCAUGUGCGAAAGCGUGAGGAGCGAACGGG